Molecule: ribosomal RNA, 33 nt
Filed under: Pseudocyphellaria sp. Weerakoon 168
Lineage: Eukaryota; Fungi; Ascomycota; Lecanoromycetes; Peltigerales; Lobariaceae
Description: partial 18S ribosomal RNA
Source: RNAcentral
GUCGUAAUAAGGUUUCCGUAGGUGAACCUGCGG